This 2962-nucleotide long non-coding RNA is filed under the name Nicotiana tabacum (common tobacco). Its description in RNAcentral is "long non-coding RNA (NTAB_LNC002051)". Lineage: Eukaryota; Viridiplantae; Streptophyta; Magnoliopsida; Solanales; Solanaceae. The record is from RNAcentral.
GGAAAAACAUUCCCGACUCUCGACCCCAGGACUGGGGAGGUAAUUGCACAUGUUGCUGAAGGUGAUGCAGAAGAUAUAAAUCGGGCAGUAGCUGCUGCUCGUAAGGCUUUUGACGAAGGACCAUGGCCUAAAAUGAAUGCUUAUGUAUCCACUUCUUAUCUCUCAGCACAGUCUUAUGCUCUGUUAAUGGUUGUGUAUGCCACAUUAUGCCUAAUUCUCCAUCUUUCAUAACUGCAGGAAAGGUCAAAGAUAUUGUUGCGCCUUGCUGAUCUGAUCGAAAAACAUAACGAUCAAGUUGCAACGCUCGAGACUUGGGAUACUGGGAAACUAUAUGAACAGGCUUCUAAGAUUGAAGUACCAAUGGUUGUACGUCUACUCCGUUAUUAUGCUGGUAAGUCAGAAAGCCAACUGAGAAAGCAAGUAUAUCAACACUUAUUUCGUGUCCCUGAAAAUAUUAAUGAUCUCCUAUUGGUUCUGCAGGCCGGACAGAUAAAAUUCACGAUAUGACUAUUCCUGCUGAUGGACCAUAUCAUGUUCAAACGUUGCAUGAACCAAUUGAAGUUGCGGGUCAGAUUAUUCCAUGGAAUUUUCCUCUUCUCAUGUUUUCUUGGAAGAUUGGACAUGCUUUAGCUUGUGGCAACACUGUCGUGCUAAAGACAGCUGAGCAGACACCAUUAUCUGCAUUCUAUGUAGCACAUCUAUUACAGGAGGUAGUAUCCAAAUUUCCAUUACUUCUAAUACUAUAGUCACUAAAGUAGUAUCCAAAUUUCCAUUACUUCUAAUACUAUAGUCACUAAAGUAUUUCUUCUGUUUCCAUGAGUUUAUCGUGUUAUAUAAUCAGAAACUGAAGUAUAUACUAAUUGAAGAGGAAUUGCAACAACUCUUUUUCUUUUUAACACAUUGUUAUUGCUACUUUCUACAAGUUAUCCAUUGUAUGGAAUAUCUCUAAUACUUGGUUAUUAUUAACAGGCUGGGCUGCCUGAAGGUGUUUUGAAUAUCAGUUCUGGUUUCGGGCUGCCUGAACGACUUGUCCAGAUUACAAGAAGCCCGUACUUAAGGGACUCUAUUCCCAACAGCCAUCAUCAGUGGAAGAAGACAUGACAAGGUAACUUUUUUGGUAAUUUUAUUAAUGUUGAUACCGUGUACUUUUUAUAUCUCUCUUCAUUUGCAGUAGUGGAUCGUGUGGAUAUGAGUUGAACCUCAACUCUUGCAAUCGCAAUACUACAGUCAUUGGAUCAAAGUAUGGGAAAACAAUGAGGAGAGGGGUACUCUCAUUUUUUUGCAUUGAUGAGAGCAGAUUUACUCAGAUAAGUAAACUUAGAUGCUCACCUUAUUUUAGGUCCAAAAACUCGUGGGGUUUCUUUAAACAACAUACUAAACUUUUGUGUCGCAAUUGUAGUAGCUGCUAUGUUUUUGUGGUCGUUGAUUUUUGUAAUUAUUAUACUAGCAUGUAUUGCCACUUCUAACCAAGGGGUUAUGAGUUCGAGUCACCCCAAGAGCAAGGUGGGGAGUUCUUGGUGGGAAGGAUACUGAGGGUCUAUUUGGAAACAGCCUCUCUACCCGUGGUAGGGGUAAGGUCUGCGUACACACUACCCUCCCAGUCCCUACUAGUGGGAUUAUACGGGGUUGUUGUUGUUGUUGUUCAUUUGCAGUAGUGACUUGUGUCUUUAUUGUUUCAGGUUUAUGAGCUGGUAGGUCUAACUGAACUCUAUUAUGCCGGUAGCCAUGGUAUGGACAUCAUGCUGCCAGUCAAAAAUAUGUCGUCUACUAACGAUUCAAAGUGUAUUAAAUCUACUGAUCAGCAGGUAUUAUAUUAGCUGCAUUAUCAGACUCUAUCCUUUCAUUCUGUUGUAAACAUUGCUAUCUAGUUCAAUUUCUGACUUACUUUCCCAAUUUCCUAACUAAUCUUGCAAUUUCUUUUUGAGCAGGGCAAGGAAAUUAAUAUGUUCCAGCCUGCUCGUAAAUUUUUACCCAUGAUUGAUGAGGUAGGUGCUUUAGAAGGUUUCUCUAAAAAGCAUUUCAAACCAGUAUAUGACUCUUUCUUUCAGCCGGAAAAGAAAAAAAGGUAAUUUAAGACGUGAACUUAACUUGUUUGACUACUUUGCAGGUUUUUAAAACCCUUGUCGAGAAAACUAAAGACAUUAAGGGUGCGAAGGUUGAGCACCAUAAGUUUUGUGCCUCUGUACAUUACCGUAAUGUAGAUGAAAAUGUGAGUGCCAACUUUUCUUGUUGCUUUUUCUUAAUGUCAACUGGAUGCUGGAGUUGCCCAUGUUAACAAAAGAACGGACAUCUAAUGAUCUUCAUUUUGACCACAGAAUUGGCCAGUCGUUGCAUAAUACAUCCAUGAUGUCUUGAAAGACUACCCUCGGCUACGGCUAACUCAUGGGUGGAAGGUAACUUGAUGUACCUAUCUUUGUCUCCGUUUCAAUUCCUGGCCACUGCAACAUUAUAAUAAUGAUAUAAUUAACGCUAUACGUGUGCAAACGGACUUCUUUUCCUUUUAAAUCCUAUAACAGGAUUAAUUUGAUGUGUUGUUCUUUUUUUUAGUAGCUUGCAUGUACAUUUAAUGUCCAAAUUUGGGUCUAGAUAAGGUGUUUCUGUAGAAGAGCUAGGCUCAUGACUAGCAUCUUGUAUGUCCAUUAUUUUCUUUUUCUUUUUGGAUCAAUUUAUUUAGUCUAGGCAUUCCAGAUGAAAGGUAAUGACUUUAUUUAUCCUCUUUUGUAGGUGGAGUAGAUGAAGAAAUAGAAGAUGAAUGCAAUGAAGAUCUAGACCUUACUUGAGAUGAAUUUUGAAUUGCUAUAGAUGAAUGUUCUAAGAAUCUUUUGUUGUUAACAUUUUGAAACUUACUAUCUUGAAAUGUAUUAAACUUAUGCACUUGGGGUAGAACAUUUGCUUUUAUGGAUAUUAUUAGCUUGUUGGACGAGUUAUAUUAUUAAUAGUUUCAUUUUGUGAUUUAUUUAAA